Molecule: ribosomal RNA, 488 nt
Filed under: uncultured bacterium
Lineage: Bacteria
Description: partial 16S ribosomal RNA
Rfam family: Bacterial small subunit ribosomal RNA
Source: RNAcentral
GACGAACGCUGGCGGCGUGCUUAACACAUGCAAGUCGAACGGACAGGCCCUGCUCUUGCGGGGCGCUCGAGUGGCGAACGGGUGAGUAAAACGCGUGUAUACCGCACUUGUCUGUGGGAUAUCAUCAGGGAACAGGGGCUCAUACCGCAUAGGAGAUAUUGCAGCACGGGGGGGGUUGGAAAGUUUCGGCGGUUGGGGCUGGACUCGCGGGGUAUCCGCUUGUUGGGGGGGUAGCGGCUUACCAAGGCUAUGAGGGGUAGACGACCUGAGAGGGUGAUCGGCCACACUGGAACGGAGACACGGUCCAGACUACUACGGGAGGCAGCAGUAGGGAAUCUUCCGCAAUGGGCGAAAGCCUGACGGAGCGACGCCGCGUGAGUGAUGAAGGUCCUCGGAUCGUAAAACUCUGUUAUUAGGGAAGAACAAAUGUGUAAGUAACUAUGCACGUCUUGACGGUACCUAAUCAGAAAGCCACGGCUAACUACGUG